UGUUUGAAAAUCUGAAUCCAGCCCAAGAGUCCAGACAAGCCUGAGGCUCGGAAUGCGUGACUGACUUGCCCAAGGCCACAGGGUGAUAGGGCAGAACCCGCUCCCCUCCUCCCAGGCCAGUGCUCUUUCUACUGAGCACCAUCACCACCAUCAUCAUCAUUGUUAAAAAAAUAAUAAUAACCGUUACUAUUAUUGCUAAC
Molecule: non-coding RNA, 200 nt
Organism: Vicugna pacos (alpaca)
Lineage: Eukaryota; Metazoa; Chordata; Mammalia; Artiodactyla; Camelidae
Source: RefSeq, a predicted model, not a curated record